This 561-nucleotide ribosomal RNA is filed under the name Pelobates cultripes (western spadefoot toad). RNAcentral describes it as "partial 16S ribosomal RNA". It matches the Rfam family "Bacterial large subunit ribosomal RNA", at positions 1838 to 2608 of the family's 2925-position model. The record is from RNAcentral. Lineage: Eukaryota; Metazoa; Chordata; Amphibia; Anura; Pelobatidae.
GAAUCUUAUAAGAGGUCCUGCCUGCCCAGUGACUAUAUGUUCAACGGCCGCGGUAUUCUGACCGUGCGAAGGUAGCGUAAUCACUUGUCUUUUAAAUAAAGACUGGUAUGAAUGGCCCCACGAGAGCCUUACUGUCUCCCUUAUUUAAUCAGUGAAACUGAUCUUCCCGUGCAGAAGCGGGAAUAUUACCAUAAGACGAGAAGACCCCAUGGAGCUUAAAACUAAAAAUCACCUACUCAAACAUCUUUCCCAUGGGAUUACCUUUUAACCCUGUAGAGAAUGAUUUAAGUUUUCGGUUGGGGUGACCACGGAGAAAAGAAAAUCCUCCUUGAUGAAUAAUUAAACCACGAGCCACCGCUCUAAGUAUUAGAACUUCUAACUAAAUUGAUCCAAUAAUUUUGAUCAACGGACCAAGUUACCCUGGGGAUAACAGCGCAAUCCAUUUCAAGAGUCCAUAUCGACAAAUGGGUUUACGACCUCGAUGUUGGAUCAGGGUAUCCCAGUGGUGCAGCCGCUACUAANGGUUCGUUUGUUCAACGAUUAAAACCCUACGUGAUCUGA